RNAcentral lists this ribosomal RNA (1232 nucleotides) under metagenome. Its description in RNAcentral is "bacterial LSU rRNA". It matches the Rfam family "Bacterial large subunit ribosomal RNA", at positions 1703 to 2925 of the family's 2925-position model. The record is from RNAcentral.
CUAGAAGGAACUCGGCAAAUUGACACCGUAACUUCGGAAGAAGGUGUGCCUUUAGUAGGUGAACCUGUACAAGGGGAGCCCAAUGAGGUUGCAAAAAAUCGGUGGCUGCGACUGUUUAAUAAAAACACAGCACUCUGCAAACACGAAAGUGGACGUAUAGGGUGUGACGCCUGCCCGGUGCUGGAAGAUUAAAUGAUGGGGUGCAAGCUCUUGAUCGAAGUCCCAGUAAACGGCGGCCUUAACAAUAACGGUCCUAAGGUAGCGAAAUUCCUUGUCGGGUAAGUUCCGACCUGCACGAAUGGCGUAACGAUGGCCGCACUGUCUCCUCCUGAGACUCAGCGAAGUUGAAAUGUUUGUGAUGAUGCAAUCUCCCCGCGGAAAGACGGAAAGACCCCAUGAACCUUUACUGUAGCUUUGUAUUGGACUUUGAACAGAUCUGUGUAGGAUAGGUGGGAGGCUUUGAAGUGUGGUCGCUAGAUCGCAUGGAGCCAACGUUGAAAUACCACCCUGGUGUGUUUGAGGUUCUAACCUAGGCCCGUAAUCCGGGUCGGGGACAGUGCAUGGUAGGCAGUUUGACUGGGGCGGUCUCCUCCCAAAGCGUAACGGAGGAGUUCGAAGGUACGCUAGGUACGGUCGGACAUCGUGCUAAUAGUGCAAUGGCAUAAGCGUGCUUAACUGCGAGACUGACAAGUCGAGCAGAUGCGAAAGCAGGACAUAGUGAUCCGGUGGUUCUGUAUGGAAGGGCCAUCGCUCGACGGAUAAAAGGUACUCUGGGGAUAACAGGCUGAUACCGCCCAAGAGUUCAUAUCGACGGCGGUGUUUGGCACCUCGAUGUCGGCUCAUCUCAUCCUGGGGCUGUAGCCGGUCCCAAGCGUAUGGCUGUUCGCCAUUUAAAGAGGUACGUGAGCUGGGUUUAAAACGUCGUGAGACAGUUUGGUCCCUAUCUUCCGUGGGCGCUGCAGACUUGAGGAAGCCUGCUCCUAGUACGAGAGGACCGGAGUGGACACACCUCUGGUGUAUCGGUUGUCACGCCAGUGGCAUUGCCGAGUAGCUAUGUGUGCAAGAGAUAACCGCUGAAAGCAUCUAAGCGGGAAACUCGUUUCAAGAUGAGAUCUGCCGGGGCCUUGAGCCCCCUAAAGAGUCGUUCAAGACCAGGACGUUGAUAGGUCGGGUGUGGAAGCGCAGUAAUGCGUUAAGCUAACCGAUACUAAUUGCUCGUGCGGCUUGACCAA